This is a non-coding RNA of Rattus norvegicus (Norway rat), 2361 nucleotides long. Lineage: Eukaryota; Metazoa; Chordata; Mammalia; Rodentia; Muridae. The record is from RefSeq and is a predicted model, not a curated record.
GAGGGGGCAAGCAGCCCCCUUUAUAGUCAGGCAUACCUGGCUGUUGCCAGGCAACUGUGGGGCGGAGCAUACUUGCCUGUUGCCAGGUAGCUGUGGGGGUGGAGCUUAGACUGAAUACCAACAGGGACAAUGGCAAGCAAACCGGAGAGUGUUUCUUAAGUACGCUCUCCAAGGUGGGCGCUGGGACUCCACUGAUACUCGCUAUUGAAAAUGAGCUUCGUAGACAACCAGGACUGAGACCUUCAUCGGAAAUAAGACUCGACGCCCAGACCUGAAAAAUCAGUGUGGCGUGAUGUUGAAGAGAUGCUUGUCCCUAUGCCUUGGGUCUCUGAGUGUGUGGGUUCUUCAGAGAUACCUCAUCAGUCAUGCAAAUUUAUGCAAAUCCAGAGUAGAGUAUCCUUUAAGCCCUGGAGGAAAUCAGUGGUGAGCAAGGCAGCACAGUUUCUACAGCCACAGAGAAAAGACCUUCGGGAUGAGUUCUGAGCAUGUUUUCCUAAGCGUGGUCAGUAUCUGGAAGGAGUUCGGAAUCAGCCUGUGGGUGUGAGUGUAGUGUGCUAGCUCAACCUCACUCAUCUUCCCGUGGUGACCUCUCGUUUUGGCAGCGCAAAUCACUCCUAGCAUCAGGCUGUCCCCAAGCCUGUAAUUGCAGCUACUUUGCAGGAUGAGACAAAGAAUCUCAAGUUCAAAGCCACCCUGGACCACUGAGCAAAUUAAAGGGUGAACAACUUGGUGAGACUCUAUGUUAACAUAAAAAGCAACGACGCAAAAAAAAAAAAAAAAAAAAAGCAACGACGCUGGGGGUGUAGCUCUUGCUGCAGGUGCAAGCCAAGGUUAAAUCAGAGUACGGUAAAAUAAUACGAAGUGGGAGCUGGAGAGGUGGCACAUCAGUUGAGAGCAUUUGUUGCUCCUGUAGAAGACCCAGUUUGGUUCCCAGCACCGACAUGAGGCAUCACAUGAUGACCUGCAACUCCAAUUUUGGGGGAAUCUGAUGCCCUCAGGCCUCUGAAGGUGUCUACACAGGUGAGGUGCACAUAACCCAGGCAGGCGCACAUGCAAACAUGUAACUAAAAACUAAGCCAAUCCUUUUAAAACAAAAUUAAAAAAAAAAAAAAGAAGAAAGUAACUUUCUGGUCCUCCUGCCUGCACCUUCCCAGAGCCGGAGUUAGCUCUGCCUGCCACCACGCUGUAUUUUAGGUGGUUUUAGGGAUGGAAGGUAGGACCUGCGUAGUAGCCAGACACUCUAUCAACUGAGCUACCUCUCCAGGACUACAACAGCAUUCUGAAAUUCUUACACUUAAUGCCACUAACCUGGGCUCUGCCUAUGUGCAGUGGAGAAAUUUUAACUUCAUUUUUGGAACAGCAUUGAGUAAACAUGACUCCCCUUCUUUGCCCAUUGGGGUCCAUACUGGAGGCCGUAGCCAUCACCCUGUGGGGAACCUGGGGAAUGCUUACCAACAGUGGACUUCAGGGUCCUCACACACAAAUGAGGCUAGACAAUGGUACACUUGCCUGCCACCAUGAGAAUGCUCCAAAAAUUGGUUCUGGGAUCUGGAAGAUCACAUGGUCCCACACCUCACUUAAGAUAAGGCAAGAAAAUCCUUGGUUAAUGGGUCAAAGAUGCCAUCUAUGUGUUCAUCUCUUUGUGGGCUCUUUCUUUGCUGGGGCCUGAGAUUCUGUAGCUCAAAAGUACCACCGCUAAAUUCGGAUCUCCACUAGUGACUUUGAAAAUAGCCCAAACAAGCAGGUUUGUAGUGUUUAGAUCCCACCCAUUCCACAUUUCACCCCUAAAAGCUGCACCCAGGAUUCGUUGCCCAUUGAUAAGACAUUGCCUCGAAAUGACAAAUUCUAAACUGCUACCUGCCUUGUGGUUCUCUGAUCCAGAGACAAUCUCCAGGCUUCUGAACACAGGGGGUGGGGAGGGUGGGGGGGUAGGGUGUAGACACCCAAAGCCCUCUCUCAAGCUCUGCUCCCACCCCGCUGCCCCUCCCAACGCUGGCCCCUGGAGCCAAGCCCAUGAAUCCUCGCUGCAAAGGCUUACCACGUGCUUGCCUCUCCUGGUAUUCUUUUUCUCUUGCAGCUGGUUCCAUUGGCAGCCUUGGACUUGGCCUUAGAAAACAAAUGCAAGAAAUUCCAGUUUAAACAAGAUGUGGAAACUGAUUCACAGACUGUUUGAGUAGUCUUAAAAGCAAUGACUUUCCAGGUUAAGUCAAACUUUCUUUAGAGCUAUCCUUCCCAGCAGAGAAGAUAUUGGCCACACAGAGCUACCUUAAGUUUGCUUCAUCUCUUAAGAUGUGCGGUGUUGUAAAAUACAGAUUUUGAUGAUUUGUAUAGAGAAAAGAAUAUAACAUACCACACUAACAA